AACGCAUAUUGCGCCCAUUAGUAUUCUAGUGGGCAUGCCUAUUCGAGCGUCAUUUCAACCCUUAAGCACCUAUCUGCUUAGCGUUGGGAGUCUGCGCCUUGGCGCAGUCCCCUAAAGGUAGUGGCAGUGUUAGGUACACUCGUAGCGUAGUAAUUUUCUUCUCGCUUCUGUAGUGGUCCUGAACGUCUAGCCGUUAAAACCCCUAUUUCUCAAGGUUGACCUCGGAUUAGGUAGGAAUACCCGCUGAACUUAA
Molecule: unclassified non-coding RNA, 253 nt
Filed under: uncultured fungus
Lineage: Eukaryota; Fungi
Description: partial contains 5.8S ribosomal RNA, internal transcribed spacer 2, and large subunit ribosomal RNA
Source: RNAcentral